Molecule: long non-coding RNA, 1341 nt
Filed under: Equus caballus (horse)
Lineage: Eukaryota; Metazoa; Chordata; Mammalia; Perissodactyla; Equidae
Description: lncRNA (ENSECAG00000046789.1)
Source: RNAcentral
AUGUAGAGUCAGUGACGCCUGUGGAUGAUAGGGAAUGUAGAAUGUCAUCAGAUACCUGACUGUUGGCCCAUUGUUGGGAAGCCUUUGUGACAAAAUGCCCACAAUUUUCAGACUGUAGAUGGUCCAGAAAGCCAAAAUCAUGGCGUAGCUUAUUUUCAUAGGCUACAAUGAUGUGGCCAGAAUUAGCAGAUUAGACAGGAACAGCAACAAUAUAACUAGAAAAAUGUGUCACCAAGAGUGAAGCAUCAACAGUCACCCUGAGAGGAGGCUCUCAAUCCAGAGUGGUCAAUCUGUUAGCAGCGGGCAGGGUCAGUGCCCGAUAUGAGGCGGCCUCCUUCACCACGAGACCAGCUGGCCAACUUUUGGCAGAAGUCACAAGGGUGGCGUGUCCCGAGGAUCUUCUCUCACUCUGGCCAGUCUGUUGUGCGAAUGUGUUGCUAUGUGCCAUGACAGGCUGGGCAGUGCACCUUCCUCAGCAGCUUGAUCCCAGUCGGUCUUGUCAGAGAGUGGACCUUACCACGGGCAUGUACUUAGACAGUCCAUCAACUAUGAAAUCCAUUUCUCUGUUAGAUUCCUGUCCUCAUCACCAAUACUGUCAAAAACUACAAAGUGCCUAGGCUGUUAUCCUACUUGCAAGAUAAUGGGGAAGACAAUUACUAUUUAUGCUGACAUAAGACACAAGCCUCCUGGGUCAGAGACAAAUGAUUUGAUUACUCACAGCAGCAGCAGGUGCCAGCGUGUCAGCAUGGUGCUUUCAGGGCAUCCCCAUACACCCUGCCCCAUCAUCAUCGUGGGGUGAUACAAAGUGUCCAUGCGAAUAUCUGCACAGUGAAUUAUGUUACAGGAGAAGAACCCUGAAUUUGAAGGAUUCACUGAUCUUAUAUUGAGCAGAGAUAAGCCUUUUCUGUGUGCAGUGGUGGAUGUCACCUCAGCCGCCAAGGAUCCUCCCUGUAAACACGCCUGUGGGAAAUGGCAUAUGUAAAGAGCAACUUCACCUCUGCAUUCAGGGCACACCCAGCAAGAACAUGCACGGGCUCCCAGGGACCACAGGGGUGCCUCUCCCGGCAUAUACUGAAUGAUUUUAAGCCUGUGAAAUAUUUUGAAGCUUGCCAUGUGACCUAGCAUGGGGUCAAUAUGAGUAAAUAAAAUUUGACGUACAAAAUAAUGUGAAAUCUUCUGCUGAUGGUGUGAAUCUCACAACCAGUUUGUCAAAUUCUGUUAAAAAAAAAAAAAAGAAGCCUGCUGGAAUUUUGAUUGGGAUUGUGUCAAGUCUAUACAUCAAGUGGAGGAGAAAGAGCAUCUUAACAAUCCUGAGUCUUCAGGCCCAUAAACGAGUUGUAU